Molecule: ribosomal RNA, 254 nt
Filed under: uncultured bacterium
Lineage: Bacteria
Description: partial 16S ribosomal RNA
Rfam family: Bacterial small subunit ribosomal RNA
Source: RNAcentral
UACGGAGGGAGCUAGCGUUGUUCGGAAAUACUGGGCGUAAAGCGCACGUAGGCGGCGCAGCAAGUCAGGGGUGAAAUCCCGGGGCUCAACCCCCGGAACUGCCCUUGAAACUGCAGUGCUAGAAUUCUGGAGAGGCGAGUGGAAUUCCGAGUGUAGAGGUGAAAUUCGUAGAUAUUCGGAAGAACACCAGUGGCGAAGGCGACUCGCUGGACAGACAUUGACGCUGAGGUGCGAAAGCGUGGGGAGCAAACAGG